RNAcentral lists this ribosomal RNA (587 nucleotides) under uncultured bacterium. Its description in RNAcentral is "partial 16S ribosomal RNA". It matches the Rfam family "Bacterial small subunit ribosomal RNA", at positions 355 to 1375 of the family's 1533-position model. The record is from RNAcentral.
UGGGGAAUUUUGGACAAUGGGCGAAAGCCUGAUCCAGCAAUGCCGCGUGUGUGAAGAAGGCCUUCGGGUUGUAAAGCACUUUUGUCCGGAAAGAAAUCCUUGGCUCUAAUACAGUCGGGGGAUGACGGUACCGGAAGAAUAAGCACCGGCUAACUACGUGCCAGCAGCCGCGGUAAUACGUAGGGUGCAAGCGUUAAUCGGAAUUACUGGGCGUAAAGCGUGCGCAGGCGGUUUGCUAAGACCGAUGUGAAAUCCCCGGGCUCAACCUGGGAACUGCAUUGGUGACUGGCAGGCUAGAGUAUGGCAGAGGGGGGUAGAAUUCCACGUGUAGCAGUGAAAUGCGUAGAGAUGUGGAGGAAUACCGAUGGCGAAGGCAGCCCCCUGGGCCAAUACUGACGCUCAUGCACGAAAGCGUGGGGGAGCAAACAGGACUAGAUACCCUGGUAGUCCACGCCCUAAAACGAUGUCAACUAGUUGUUGGGGAUUCAUUUCCUUAGUAACGUAGCUAACGCGUGAAGUUGACCGCCUGGGGAGUACGGUCGCAAGAUUAAAACUCAAAUGAAUUGACGGGGUCAUAGCUGUUUCCU